CUCACUCCAAUCGUGAAAGAUCGGACAUCUAGGAUUCCACCCUACAUUAGUGUUCAACAUCAUUUAAAACAAAACAGACGCUAGCCAACUCGCUCCCAGGAGGCUCCCUCGAUUUCCUGCUUCGUCGGCCGUUCGAUGGUGGUUAAAAUAGCCUUCUGCGUGAUCUGAAACGUCGGAUGGUCGCGCUGCUCGUUUUCACCGCGUGGUAACCUCGCAUUGGCCAAUGACGUGUGGGCUCAUGCGAUGUGCUGGUUGGCUGGGUCAACCGCUUCGUGGUGUGUGCGCACCCUGUCCCUGCACGCCGCAUGCACGUCGUGCCAUUUGCGGGAGAUCGUGCGAGAGCCACACCCAUUGGUCACCGGAGGACGCUCCCCUGCCGUGCGCUACGUGCCGUUGGGCCACUGACAUGUGGGCCAGGUUCCCAAAAAGCCCACAUGUCAGUGACAAAACGGCAGGCUGCCGUACGUCAGAGGAUCCUCACCCUUGGUCACCGUCCCGCACAAACCCUACCCUUUCAAGGGCUCCCAGAUCGAUGCAGCCGCCUCCCUUAUCCCUCUCUUCCUCCCCCAAUGCGCCGGCCGCCGCCACCUGCCAUACCGCGUCCCCGCUGCGGCCAUGGCCUCUUCAAGAGGCACGCCCCUCCAUGGUCAGAAGCAGCAGACCAGGAUCCGGAUGAGGAAGAGGAGAUCCGGGCGCCCCAACGGUGGAUCGAUCGAUGCCCGGAUGAGGAAGAGGAGAUCCAGGCGCCCCAAUGGUGGAUCGAUCGUUGCGAGGUGACGACGAGCUCCUCCGGACGUGGGGGAGCAGUGAGGCUGGAGAUCCAGUCGGUGCAUGCCCCACGGGGUUGGGGAGACGCCGGCAAUAGGGGCAAGGUGCAUCAGGGUCGAAGCUGCAGCGCUCCGGUCCCCAAGCCGCCUCCAGGCUCGCUUCCUCCUCCAUCCUCCCGCAUCUCAUCCAUCUCGACGGAUACGAGGCGUGCGGGCACGGAGGCGAGGUUCUCCGGCGGCGGCGGGAACCUCCAGGCAGAGAGCGACCCCAUGGAUCCGUCCCUGCAGAAGAGAAGGAAGGAGAGGAGACAGGCCAUGGAGAUGGGAUGAGAACGUCCAUGGCCAGCCAAUCGAGCCCACCUCCGGUGCGCGACCCCAGGAAGGAUUUUGCGCUGCCGUCUUCUUUCGCCGGUCUGUGCCCUGGAAGAGCGACACCAGCCAGUUCUGCCUUACUUGCAGCGUGUGUGAUGUGUGCGUGCUUACUGAUGUGUGGCAAUUUCUUAAUUAUAAGUCCCAGUUUAUGCACUUUCUAGAAGGAUGAUGGUGAGGAGGGGCUACCUUUUCCUCGGAGAGGACCCUAACUGAACUUUGUAUCGAAGCUUUGUGUGUGUGUUUCUCCUUAAUCUGCGUGUAAAUUCAGAGUUCUAAUCACCAUCCUAGUGCUUGCUGGUUUCAGGCAUUGUAUGGGAAUGAAGCAAAAAGUCUGCCUUCCAUUGGCGUGUGAGUACUUGCACUUGGACCUUUUUGUGAGCAGUACUAACUAAUCUAAUGAUCUGAUCCUUGCAAUCUAAGGAAAAAAUAAAUCUAAGUCAUUUCCGAUCUGAAGAUCUGGGUACCAACUAUUUCUGUUUGUGUCUAUAAGCUUUUGAUUUUCCGCCAGGUCUAUUUUUUAUUUGCAAUGUUGAACCCUCUUUUCAUUUCUUGUGAAUAUUUCUUUUUGUUUGAUCAGUACUGCACCUGGUUAUCUACAGUGGAAGGCAAGGAUAACUAGAUUAAACAUUUCACAAGACCCUCCCAAUUACAGGCACAAACUCCUUUCAAGAUAUUACAAGUGUGGUUGAUUACGGGAGAUUGUCAGAUGAAAAGAAGGUAUAUCCUUUAUAUUUAUCUAGAUGUUUAAUUAGCUGCACAACCAUACGUGAUUCUAUAAGGAAACUAUUUAUCCUGGCGAUCUUGAUAUCCAGUCAUGUAUUACAAUAUUAGUAUAGGCUGUAAUUUUUGGCUAGGAAUCUAUAUAUACAGAACCUAAACUGAAGACUCAAUAUAGCACAUAUACUUGGCCAGUUAUCCUAAGAAUAUUAAUCCACCUGGACUUUUAACUUGACUUCCAAAGAAGUUCUUAACGAUCAAGCAUUUUUGAGUUUUUAGUAAAUUGAAAUAAUGUUGCACUUUGACAAUACUAUUCUGAUUUUGCAAGUUAAUAGAAAUCCUUCAGUUUCAUACCACUUUUUUAAUCGCGCAUUUGGAUGAGUAUUAGUAUAGGCUGUAAUUUUUGGCUAGGAAUCUAUAUAUACAGAACCUAAACUGAAGACUCAAUAUAGCACAUAUACUUGGCCAGUUAUCCUAAGAAUAUUAAUCCACCUGGACUUUUAACUUGACUUCCAAAGAAGUUCUUAACGAUCAAGCAUUUUUGAGUUUUUAGUAAAUUGAAAUAAUAUUGCACUUUGACAAUACUAUUCUGAUUUUGCAAGUUAAUAGAAAUCCUUCAAUUUCAUACCACUUUUUUAAUCGCACAUUUGGAUGAUUGCGACAUUAUCUCUUCUCAGAAUUCCGCUUGCAUGUUUCCAGUUGAGACAAUAACUGAGUUUGAUAAGUAACCACUAUAUUAUUUUCUAUGUGUACACAUGUUGUCGCUCUGCUUGAGUCAUCCAUCUCCACAUUACGAGCCCGAGACUUCCAUCACAACAAACUAUAUGUAUCCAGGUAGUGUCCAAUAUGUACACACAGGCUCCUCUCACAGGCCGACUAAGCUGAUUGUAACUGAAUGUGUGUGUGUGGCCGUGAAGCAGACUUUAUCUUGGUCUGAGUAUCAGUUCCCUUCAAUGGUACAAUUUUGGAUACUAUUUUCUUCUAGAUGUAUAGGUUUCUGCUGGUCCCAUUGGCUGCUACAUUUUAGUGAUACAAUAGCUCAAUGUCAUGCUCACCAAUUAUUCUGUAAAAAUGAAAAAUCGACUUGACUGUAUUUUGUACCUGUUUUAGUAAUUACAUGAUGUGAUUAUUUUCAUUCUAGAUAUGGAAAUAUUCUAAGGAUUAAGCUUUUUGAGACGUUAAGGUAUCUGAUGAUUAAUUAGCCUUUGUAAGAUUUAUGCACUCAUGUCAUACAACCUAGAUAAUUCUCCUUGGAUCUCCAUAAUUUCUAACUGAAUAUAGAUGUAUACUGACAGUAAAUCCCGUUUUAGUAAUUAGUUGGAUAUAAUUGAUAAUUCUUUGACAUGUUUUUAUGAAAUGUCUGCUUAAAUCAGCGUUAGAUGCUCCCAUAAUCGAUUACUUUUUGGAUAUGAAUUAUUACUAUAAGAAGUAUAUUGGUUCUCUGGUGUUUUCAGUUCUUACAAUAAACAAAUUAUAUUGUUUUCCACUAAUCAUUUCUCAUGUAGUUUUACUCUGCAGUAUGUAUCUUUUGCUUCAUAACUCAUCUGUUCACAAGAUUGAUGCCUAGAAAUUUCAGCCUUCCGUGCUAAAUGUCGUCUGCUCAUGUGUAACGGCAUAGAGAUAGGAACGAGCAAUUCAUCUUCAGUUUGAGAAAGUGGCGGACAAAAGAGAACUGGACUAUUGUUGCUGAGCGCUAGCUCUGGCCGCAUGAUCAUCUAUAUAUAUAGUUUUCGACAGUAAAUGUAUCCUGAUUGGUAUAGCACAAAUGGAAAUCUUACUUUCUUCUAAACUCUUAAUUUCAAGAUGAACUGGAGAGGGGAAUUUGUACUAAGUUUGGAAUCUAUCACAGUAAGUGUGUAUUUGCGGUAUUGAUGUACAGUUAUUAAGAAAGUUACAUUUUUCAGCUAUUGUGCUACUGAGAAGGAAGCAUGGCUGAGAAUUGCUCUGGCUGGA
Triticum aestivum (bread wheat) is the source of this 3809-nucleotide RNA transcript. RefSeq lists it as uncharacterized. Lineage: Eukaryota; Viridiplantae; Streptophyta; Magnoliopsida; Poales; Poaceae. The record is from RefSeq and is a predicted model, not a curated record. The transcript is spliced from 2 exons.